GAGUUUGAUCCUGGCUCAGGACGAACGCUGGCGGCGCGCUUAACACAUGCAAGUCGAGCGAGAACCAGCCCUUCGGGGCUGGGGAAAGCGGCGAACGGGUGAGUAACACGUGGGUAAUCUGCCCUCGGCACCGGAAUAGCCCGGGGAAACCCGGAUUAAUGCCGGAUGGCCUCUCGAGUCUUUGGACUCGUGAGAAAAGGUAGCUUCGGCCUCUGGCCGAGGAGGAGCCCGCGGCGGAUUAGCUUGUUGGUGGGGU
This 256-nucleotide ribosomal RNA is filed under the name uncultured Clostridium sp. Its description in RNAcentral is "partial 16S ribosomal RNA". It matches the Rfam family "Bacterial small subunit ribosomal RNA", at positions 9 to 258 of the family's 1533-position model. Lineage: Bacteria; Bacillati; Bacillota; Clostridia; Eubacteriales; Clostridiaceae. The record is from RNAcentral.